CCUACGGGGGGCAGCAGUCGAGAAUCAUUCACAAUGGGGGAAACCCUGAUGGUGCGACGCCGCGUGAGGGAAUGAAGGUCUUCGGAUUGUAAACCCCUGUCAUGUGGGAGCAAAUUAAAAAGAUAGUACCACAUGAGGAAGAGACGGCUAACUCUGUUCCAGCAGCAGCGGUAAUACAGAGGUCUCAAGUGUUGUUCGGAAUCACUGGGCGUAAAGGGUGCGUAGGCUGUUUAGUAAGUCGUGUGUGAAAGGCGCGGGCUCAACCCGCGGACGGCACAUGAUACUGCGAGACUAGAGUAAUGGAGGGGGAACCGGAAUUCGCGGUGUAGCAGUAAAAUGCGUAGAUAUCGAGAGGAACACUCGUGGCGAAGGCGGGUUCCUGGACAUUAACUGACGCUGAGGCACGAAGGCCAGGGGAGCGAAAGGGAUUAGAUACCCCUGUAGUC
This 446-nucleotide ribosomal RNA is filed under the name uncultured bacterium. RNAcentral describes it as "partial 16S ribosomal RNA". It matches the Rfam family "Bacterial small subunit ribosomal RNA", at positions 338 to 795 of the family's 1533-position model. The record is from RNAcentral.